Molecule: ribosomal RNA, 469 nt
Filed under: uncultured Streptococcus sp.
Lineage: Bacteria; Bacillati; Bacillota; Bacilli; Lactobacillales; Streptococcaceae
Description: bacterial SSU rRNA
Rfam family: Bacterial small subunit ribosomal RNA
Source: RNAcentral
ACGGGGCCCGCACAAGCGGUGGAGCAUGUUGGUUUAAUUCGAAGCAACGCGAAGAACCUUUACCAGGUCUUGACAUCCCGAUGCUAUUUCUAGAGAUAGAAAGUUACUUCGGUACAUCGGUGACAGGUGGUGCAUGGUUGUCGUCAGCUCGUGUCGUGAGAUGUUGGGUUAAGUCCCGCAACGAGCGCAACCCCUAUUGUUAGUUGCCAUCAUUCAGUUGGGCACUCUAGCGAGACUGCCGGUAAUAAACCGGAGGAAGGUGGGGAUGACGUCAAAUCAUCAUGCCCCUUAUGACCUGGGCUACACACGUGCUACAAUGGUUGGUACAACGAGUUGCGAGUCGGUGACGGCGAGCUAAUCUCUUAGAGCCAAUCUCAGUUCGGAUUGUAGGCUGCAACUCGCCUACAUGAAGUCGGAAUCGCUAGUAAUCGCGGAUCAGCAUGUCACGGUGAAUACGUUCCCGGGUCUU